This 727-nucleotide ribosomal RNA is filed under the name Streptomyces sp. Its description in RNAcentral is "bacterial SSU rRNA". It matches the Rfam family "Bacterial small subunit ribosomal RNA", at positions 137 to 876 of the family's 1533-position model. The record is from RNAcentral. Lineage: Bacteria; Bacillati; Actinomycetota; Actinomycetes; Kitasatosporales; Streptomycetaceae.
UCUGGGACAAGCCCUGGAAACGGGGUCUAAUACCGGAUAACACUCUGUCCUGCAUGGGACGGGGUUAAAAGCUCCGGCGGUGAAGGAUGAGCCCGCGGCCUAUCAGCUUGUUGGUGGGGUAAUGGCCUACCAAGGCGACGACGGGUAGCCGGCCUGAGAGGGCGACCGGCCACACUGGGACUGAGACACGGCCCAGACUCCUACGGGAGGCAGCAGUGGGGAAUAUUGCACAAUGGGCGAAAGCCUGAUGCAGCGACGCCGCGUGAGGGAUGACGGCCUUCGGGUUGUAAACCUCUUUCAGCAGGGAAGAAGCGCAAGUGACGGUACCUGCAGAAGAAGCACCGGCUAACUACGUGCCAGCAGCCGCGGUAAUACGUAGGGUGCGAGCGUUGUCCGGAAUUAUUGGGCGUAAAGAGCUCGUAGGCGGCUUGUCACGUCGGAUGUGAAAGCUCGGGGCUUAACCCCGAGUCUGCAUUCGAUACGGGCUAGCUAGAGUGUGGUAGGGGAGAUCGGAAUUCCUGGUGUAGCGGUGAAAUGCGCAGAUAUCAGGAGGAACACCGGUGGCGAAGGCGGAUCUCUGGGCCAUUACUGACGCUGAGGAGCGAAAGCGUGGGGAGCGAACAGGAUUAGAUACCCUGGUAGUCCACGCCGUAAACGUUGGGAACUAGGUGUUGGCGACAUUCCACGUCGUCGGUGCCGCAGCUAACGCAUUAAGUUCCCCGCCUGG